CUCCCGAGUGCUUGCACUCAAUUGGAAAGGGGAGUGGCGGACGGGUGAGUAACACGUGGGUAACCUACCCAUCAGAGGGGGAUAACACUUGGAAACAGGUGCUAAUACCGCAUAACAGUUUAUGCCGCAUGGCAUAAGAGUGAAAGGCGCUUUCGGGUGUCGUUGAUGGAUGGACCCGCGGUGCAUUAGCUAGUUGGUGAGGUAACGGCUCACCAAGGCCACGAUGCAUAGCCGACCUGAGAGGGUGAUCGGCCACACUGGGACUGAGACACGGCCCAGACUCCUACGGGAGGCAGCAGUAGGGAAUCUUCGGCAAUGGACGAAAGUCUGACCGAGCAACGCCGCGUGAGUGAAGAAGGUUUUCGGAUCGUAAAACUCUGUUGUUAGAGAAGAACAAGGACGUUAGUAACUGAACGUCCCCUGACGGUAUCUAACCAGAAAGCCACGGCUAACUACGUGCCAGCAGCCGCGGUAAUACGUAGGUGGCAAGCGUUGUCCGGAUUUAUUGGGCGUAAAGCGAGCGCAGGCGGUUUCUUAAGUCUGAUGUGAAAGCCCCCGGCUCAACCGGGGAGGGUCAUUGGAAACUGGGAGACUUGAGUGCAGAAGAGGAGAGUGGAAUUCCAUGUGUAGCGGUGAAAUGCGCAGAUAUAUGGAGGAACACCAGUGGCGAAGGCGGCUCUCUG
RNAcentral lists this ribosomal RNA (683 nucleotides) under uncultured Bacilli bacterium. RNAcentral's name for it is "bacterial SSU rRNA". It matches the Rfam family "Bacterial small subunit ribosomal RNA", at positions 67 to 731 of the family's 1533-position model. The record is from RNAcentral. Lineage: Bacteria; Bacillati; Bacillota; Bacilli.